ACUGCAUUUUUGUAUAUAUAGUUGGGAUUAUUGUAUUUAUCAACACUGAAUUUCAUCUGCUGUUUUGUGGGAGCCCUUUAACUUUUUGUAUUCUGCUUUUGACUUGACUAUCUUGAGUAUCAUGUAAACUUUGCCACCUUACUGUUUACUCCCUUUUCCAGAUCAUUUAUGAAUAUGCUGAACAGUAUAGAUCCUUUAGGACCCUGCUAUUUACUUCUUUCCAUUGUGAAAACUGUUGGUUUUACUCCUGCCCUUUGUUCCCUAGCUAUCCUCUCCAAUUACUGAUCCAUAAGGACCUCUAUUCCAUGACUACUUGAUAUUGCUUUAGAGCCUUUGAGGUGGGACCUCACUGAAAGUCCAAGUACACUGGAUUACCCUUAUCCACAUGCUUGUUGAGACCCUCAAAGAAUUCUAAUGGAACUUGCUCAAUAUCAAAGUAAGCAAACUCUACAGUAACAUCGCAAACUGGUUUCUGUUUUCACACUCAGAACUCUCAGCCCAAAAGGUCAAAGAAACAAGUCACCCUCUCAUCAUUACAGGUUCCUCAAAAACAGGGUUAAAGCAUGUUGGCGAGGCAAAGAAACGUGCACUGCUGAGUGACAGGAUGUAUCAACCCUGCACGGGGCCAACGGGGGCUGACCAAUCAUUGUGGGCCCAGGAAAUGACACCCCCGCACUCCUACUGCACAUGGUCCAGGUGGAGGGGACAGAUAAAAGGAGGCCGCUCAGCUCAGUCGGUGCUGGUGGAAGAGGAGGAAGGAUGUGUGCUGCAGGCUCCUGGAGAGGAACCAUCAACUCUCCGUGGAUCUGGACUAUGCUGUGGAUGACCAGCUGACUGCAGAGAUGCCGAGCUGCUGCCAGCUGAGGAGAUGCCCGAAAUGGGCUUUAUGGUAGGAAGUCACCCAGGGAAUCUGUUAGGACAGAGGUGGGCAAACUACGGCCUGCAGGCCACAUCCGGUGAACUAGGGUAGGUGUGGGUCCCCCUGCCCCACACUUGCCACUAGAUGUGACUACUCGGGUCUCCUGAUAUAAACUGAGUGUUUGCUCUGCCUCGCCCCAGGGGCUACAGACUGAUUGAUUGUUCUGCCCCAACAGGGAAUCCCGACAACCAUGUGACUGGGUGUGUCAACCCCACACUGAGCAAACAGGGACAGCUGCCAAUCAACAUGCCAAGCCCUCGUGACAUGCUGUGUGCCACCAGUUCUGUUACUUACUAUCAAAAUAUACCACCACCUAAAGCAGUGUUUCCUCAACCCGUGGGUCGGGAUACCAGAAUGUUUCAAAGGGUUGUGUGGCAGCUCCUGUCCCAUGGGGCUGGCAGGGCUCACCACCCUGCUCCAGGCACUACAGCCUCUGGGGUCCCAGUGCCACUCAGAUUUGGUCCAGCCAUCAUGAUGACGGGAGUCUGAGGAGGCCAUAUUUGAGCGAGUGGCACUGAAACCCCAUGAGCCAGGUCACAACUCUACUCAUAGAAAUUUGGUCCAUUCAGGGGGGUGUGGUUGAACCUGAGUGGUGCUGCAACCCCAGAGGUUGCAAUGCCUAGAGCGCAGAGCCAAGCCCAGCCAGACCCACAGCAGCUGUAGGAGCUGCCACCGUGGGGUGAGUGCCAGGCAGGACCCAACCCUCCUCCCCCAGGGUGCGGGAUCCAACUUAAGCCACCCUAGCCAUAAACAUUUACAAAUGGGUCCUGAGCCCAAAAAGGUUGAGAACCACUGGCCUUGAGGUCCCAACCAAGAUCAGAUCCUCAUUCUGCUAAGCAGUGCAUAUACAUGUAGUAAACAGCGACAAUCUACAACCUAAGUUGAUAAGACAAAGAAAAUAUUAUCCCCAUUUUACAGACUGCAAAGUGUGGCAUAGAGAUUAAGGUUUUGUCUACACAAUUUGCACUGGUAUAACUGAGGAAGUAUGUUUAAACCCACAUAGUUAAAUCAGUACAUGUUAAGCUUGCCUUUGCAUUAAGCAAAAAGAAAAGGAGUACUUAUGGCACCUUAGAGACUAACAAAUUUAUUUGAGCAUAAGCUUUCGUGAGCUACAGCUCACUUCAUCGGAUGCAUGCAGCGGAAAAUACAGUGGGGAGUUUUAUAUACCCAGAGAACAAGAAACAAUGGGUGUUAGUGUGUAUGGUAACAAGAGUGAUCAGGUAAGGUGAGCUAUUACCAGCAGGAGAGUGGGGGGCGGACACGACACGACGACGACACACCUUUCGUAGUGAUAAUCAAGGUGGGCUCCCCACUGUAUUUUCCACUGCACGCAUCCAAUGAAGUGAGCUGUAGCUCACGAAAGCUUGUGCUCAAAUAAAUUUGUCUGUCUCUAAGGUGCCACAAGUACUCCUUUUCUUUUUCCAGAUACAGACUAACACGGCUGCUACUCUGAAACUUUGCAUUAAGUAGUUUCUCCAACAUUACACAUGAACUCUGGAUUCAUUUUCUGCCACAGAUCUCCCAAGUCCCAGUUCAGUGCCUUAACCACAGACCAUCCUUCUUCAUGUUGGCAGAUCACAGAAUGUUAGUCUCCACAAGCUGUCAAAUUUUUAUAACAGUACUACAUCAGUUAGAACGACUCUGUAUGUUUUUGAAGGAUUGUUUUAACAUGAAGUGAUCUUUUCUACCAUCAAAGCUGCACACACUGUGUAAAGGGGGCUCAUCAGAUAUCAUUUCACAAUUUUUAAAGACACACUUUCACUUUGACAGAGUUUAACUUGUCACUCUUUCAAUAAGGAAAUCAACUUUGCAUGAGGAUAUUCAAAACAGACAUAGUUAAACUCCCUCCCCCACCCCAGAUAAAUGUACCCAUCUUUAAGGGAGAUAAGUUUAACAAAAACAUGAAUUAUCUGAAUCUUCCGCGGAGGAAAAUACCCUAUUUAGAUGUUCAAGAACACAAAUUAUAGUUCAUAAAAGUUAUACACUCAUGCCAGGGGGUGCUCAGAUGAUCAUUUCUCCCAGGAAUAUCAACAGGUACAUAAAUUAAUUCUGUCUUACCCAGAACAGCUGAUCAACAUCAUCAUCAAUGCUUCUGCAGAAAAUUCAGAACAUCCAGAGAGAUUUAAUCGCACCAAACUGGAAUUCUGAGCGAUGCUUCUGUAAAGACCAUAGAUGGAGUGUCACAAUGCUUUCACAUCUCUCCUGGGGCAAGUAGUACAAGAACAGGGCCCCGCAGCUCAGUUAAGAGUCAGACCAGGGAAGGAGCAAGACGUCCGUCCCACUGUGGCAGGCGAUGACCCUCCAGAGCCAGCUUGGAGGGAAGGAAACUGCUACCCCGGAAGACUGAGAAACCCAAAGAGGGAGUGGAGAGCAGGCCGUCUGACAAGGAGAGGGGGAACCAGGCCCCGGUGGCCAUGGAGCAGCCCCACCAGAUGCUGGUAGGAAGAACCCCAAGGUGUUGGAUCAUAUUAAAGAAGUUCUGUAUUAAAAUCACAAAUGAAUUUGAUUCCCCAUAGUUUAAAUUCCAGGAUAUUACUAAUUAAGAGGUCUCUUGGUUUUUGGUACUGUUUC
Long non-coding RNA from Chelonia mydas (Green sea turtle), 3490 nucleotides. RefSeq lists it as uncharacterized. The record is from RefSeq and is a predicted model, not a curated record. The transcript has 4 exons. Lineage: Eukaryota; Metazoa; Chordata; Testudines; Cheloniidae.